GAUGAACGCUGGCUACAGGCUUAACACAUGCAAGUCGAGGGGAAACGACGGGGAAGCUUGCUUCCCCGGGCGUCGACCGGCGCACGGGUGAGUAACGCGUAUCCAACCUGCCUCUGACUGAGGGAUAACCCGUCGAAAGUCGGCCUAAUACCUCAUGGCAUCGUCUGCGGGCAUCCAACGACGAUUAAAGAUUUCAUCGGUCAGGGAUGGGGAUGCGUCUGAUUAGCUAGUUGGCGGGGUAACGGCCCACCAAGGCUACGAUCAGUAGGGGUUCUGAGAGGAAGGUCCCCCACAUUGGAACUGAGACACGGUCCAAACUCCUACGGGAGGCAGCAGUGAGGAAUAUUGGUCAAUGGGCGAGAGCCUGAACCAGCCAAGUAGCGUGCAGGAUGACGGCCCUAUGGGUUGUAAACUGCUUUUAUGCGGGGAUAAAGUGAAGGACGUGUCCUUCAUUGCAGGUACCGCAUGAAUAAGGACCGGCUAAUUCCGUGCCAGCAGCCGCGGUAAUACGGAAGGUCCGGGCGUUAUCCGGAUUUAUUGGGUUUAAAGGGAGCGUAGGCCGUGGAUUAAGCGUGUUGUGAAAUGCAGGUGCUCAACGCCUGCACUGCAGCGCGAACUGGUCCACUUGAGUGUGCACAACGCAGGCGGAAUUCGUCGUGUAGCGGUGAAAUGCUUAGAUAUGACGAAGAACUCCGAUUGCGAAGGCAGCUUGCGGGAGCACAACUGACGCUGAAGCUCGAAAGUGCGGGUAUCGAACAGG
This 760-nucleotide ribosomal RNA is filed under the name uncultured Prevotella sp. RNAcentral's name for it is "bacterial SSU rRNA". It matches the Rfam family "Bacterial small subunit ribosomal RNA", at positions 28 to 776 of the family's 1533-position model. Lineage: Bacteria; Pseudomonadati; Bacteroidota; Bacteroidia; Bacteroidales; Prevotellaceae. The record is from RNAcentral.